Molecule: ribosomal RNA, 172 nt
Filed under: uncultured bacterium
Lineage: Bacteria
Description: partial 16S ribosomal RNA
Rfam family: Bacterial small subunit ribosomal RNA
Source: RNAcentral
CCUACGGGAGGCAGCAGUGGGGAAUAUUGGGCAAUGGGCGAAAGCCUGGCCCAGCGACGCCGCGUGGGGGAAGAAGUCUUUCGGGAUGUAAACCCUUGUUGUACGGGACGAAAACAAUGACGGUACCGUACGAGGAAGCCCCGGCAAACUACGUGCCAGCAGCCGCGGUAAU